UACAGAGGUCUCGAGCGUUGUUCGGAUUCAUUGGGCGUAAAGGGUGCGUAGGUGGCGCUGUAAGUCGGGUGUGAAAUCCUGAGGCUUAACCUCGGAACUGCAUUCGAUACUGCGGCGCUUGAGGACUGGAGAGGAGACUGGAAUUCAUGGUGUAGCAGUGAAAUGCGUAGAGAUCAUGAGGAAGACCAGUGGCGAAGGCGACUCACUGGGCUCUACCUGACGCUGAGGCGCGAAAGCGUGGGGAGCGAACCGG
This 253-nucleotide ribosomal RNA is filed under the name uncultured bacterium. RNAcentral's name for it is "partial 16S ribosomal RNA". It matches the Rfam family "Bacterial small subunit ribosomal RNA", at positions 524 to 776 of the family's 1533-position model. The record is from RNAcentral.